This is a long non-coding RNA of Culicoides brevitarsis, 857 nucleotides long. RefSeq lists it as uncharacterized. The record is from RefSeq and is a predicted model, not a curated record. The transcript has 3 exons. Lineage: Eukaryota; Metazoa; Arthropoda; Insecta; Diptera; Ceratopogonidae.
GAAUGAUGAAACCACGUAAGAAGUAAACAAAUCAAUUUCCUCCGAUUUUCGCUCAAAUUUCGCUGAAAAACCCUCAAAUAUCAAAAAUGGAAUCGACACACAUCGCCCAUCAAUCCGGCAGUUUUUCCACAUUUAGCAACAAUUGGACUUGCGAGAGACUUGGUCAAAUAACAACUUCGCGAAUAGUCAUCAAUUUUCCCAUUUUUCUCGUUCUUUAAAGAGCAAAGAGACGCGACUUGAGUGAAAAAAGAUGCUGGUUAUUGGCGUGAAACGAGAUGAGCUCUUCAAGGCACUCGGCAAGACUUAUACUGAACAAGAAUUCGAAAAGUUCUGUUUUGACUUUGGCAUCGAGUUGGAUGAUGUGACGUCGGAGUGUUGAGCAAGGAACAAGGACUUGCAUCUGCAUUGCUUGUUUUUCAAUGAAAAGAAUGCACCGCAGCUGAGUUAAUUUAGUUGUAUAGCACACAUGCACAGUUGAAAGCUUACUUACCCAUCAUCAAAGAAUCGCUCGUGUAUCCCGUAAUUAAUGAUGCAAAUGGAGUUGUGCUUUCGUGGCCUCCAAUUUCAUUCGUCCCGUUAUUUAUAAAAAAAAUAUUUAAAAAUCUGCUGAUUUAAUUGAAAUUUCAUAAAAUGUUUUUCUAAAAUUCUUAAUUUAAUUUUAUUUUUUACGAUAAUAAAUUUAAAAUUCCUCGAAAAAUUUUAAUUUAAUUAAAUUUUUAAAUUUAUUUUUUUUUUAAUGUUAAUCAAAUAUUUGAUCUUUGAAAAAUUAUUAAUUUGCCAUUUAUUUUUUUUAUUGGACAAUACACUUUAAGUCUAAAAAAAAUUAUUUAGAUAUUAUUUAUUUUUAUUUCUUUCUU